GAGUCCAGGCCCCAUCCAGACUCCUCUGCUCCUUGAACUUGCCCUCAAACCCAUGCUCAAUAUCAUCCAGGUAGAAUGCGCAGACUGCAGAUCCAGGAAUGCUGGGGAAGCCAGAAAGGAUUCAAGGACCCAGAAGAGCCUUCCAGCUACCCACCCUGGUGCCCAACUCCUUACCCUCCCCAGUCGGGCAUCCUCCACUGAGACCUCUCGGAAGAAGAAAUAGACGUGGUCUCCAUGCUCCAAAGCAUAGACAAAGGUAGGCUCUAAAGUAGGCGUGACAGGAAAGGGCAUCCAGACAUGCUCAGGGACUUGUGCCCUAUACUAUCUCCCCACCCAUCCAUACACUCCCUGCCACUGCCCCCACACAGUCCUGGUGUACCCCCAUGUGCAGGCUGACCCCCAGGACGACUGACCUCGCAACCACUUGGAGUCAUACUUGGCAGAACGGAGUGGCGGCUGAGGUCCAAGGCUUCUGUAAACUACAGCGUCACUGGCCUGGAAAUCCGCUGCAGUGGCUGAGUACAAACUGCCCUCUGGAGGGUUGAGGGGAUCGGGAUCAGGGGAAGCUCAAGAUCUGCACCCUGUCUCUUACUGGGGUACCCACACAGCUACUUAGGCCUGCAUCCUGUCUCUUACUGGGGUACCCACACAGCUACUUAGGCCUGGCCCCACCCCUCCUACCCUCCACUCAAGGACAUGGAGGAAGACCAAGUUGGGAGAGGAACUCCUUCCAGCCACAUGCCUGCUUCUCACAUGCCCAGGUGCACACCUGCAAAGAUGGCCACGUUUGAUUGGUUGGCAUCAAAGGGACAUCGAGCUUGCCCACUCAGCUCCUCACCCUCCUGCUGCAGCGAAGUUAUCUGGGGGCAGAGGAGGCAGGUUCCUGGAACCUCUCAGAAGUGUGGCCCCACAGCCCACUCCCCUCCCUCCCCUUCUGCACUCUCGCAAUCCAAGCCCAGAUGCUCAUCUCUUCCAGUCAGACUGAUUGCCUAUUUUGGAAUCUCCUCCCAGCCCUCUUCCUUUGUACCCCAUAGCUGCGGCACACGGGGCUGAAUGAGUUUGUUCCACAGGCAAGGAGUGUCUGCGAGUCCCAGGGAACAAGAACACGGAUGUAGUUGUAGCACUCGUCCUAGAAAACCCAAAAUUCUAGGUUAGUGACAAGCCUGGGACUGAAGUUAAGGGCCACAGGAAGUAAGGCAGUGACCAGUCUUGAGCCACAGCAAUGUGGCUAAAGUCUCAAGCUGUUUACUGGCCCUUUAGCCUUCACCAGGCUCUUUGGUUUCUCUGAGCCUCCUCCUCUUUUUGCUGGGGUGUGUAAAGGGAACUAGAAGGUGUGGAUUCUCUUUCCUUCCCUUGGUUGUCUGGCUGGCUUGGAGAGGGGAGGAAGGAAUGGUCGUGCUGGCCUUGCCUUCCCUCCAACUACACUCCCCUCCUCACCGUCAGCUUUCCCCGAACAGCACAGUUCUCCAUAUCUUGGCUCCUCCAUGUCAGAAACUGAAAAGAGAAAUAGAGGAGAGGUCAUGGAGCAACCAGGACCCCUCCUCACAUUAUGACUCCUUUUAGGUGCUUUUUCAACCCACAGAACCCCCAUUACACCUUUCCCAGCUUUGUCUCCCUGCCUGCACCUCCUCGCAUACAGCCCCUCACCUUGUUGGGCACCAGCCCCUCCCCUUCUUCUUGGGCUUGAAGAUCGAAGGAGAAAACGUGAUCCCUGAAGGGUAGGUAAGGAGGGGUCAGAGCUGAGCUGAGGCACCUGCCUGCCUGAGCUCCUUAGUCCCCUGCUUACCCAUGUUCACCUGCUUAGGGCCAAGCCACAAAGUUCCUGCUCCCUAGCCUCCCCCUUACUCCAUGCCUUGGCAUCUGUUCUCUGGGUCCAAGCAUGUCCAUGUCCCAUGGCUUGUGCACCUGCAUGUGUCCGCUGCAAGCUGCUGCAGUGGCCAUGCAGGUGCCAUGUCUGCCUAGGAGCAUGCAUGUCUGCCCCACAACUGUUCCUUGGCCAUUUUACCGGGCGGCCACAAGCAAGGUCCGGUUCAAGGUCAGGAAUCGCUGAAAAUCCAGCCCAAGUUCUGCAGCCACAGCAUCAUCCUCCAGGCCCCGGAACCAGGAUAACGGAGAAGUACCUAGAAGACGGCAGCUGAGAUAAUACACACUUUCCAACUCCCUUUCCUACCAGAGAAAAUCAAGCAAUGAACAGAGUAGGAGACAAGAGAGGCCCAAAAUCUAUCACUAAAACCAAUACCAUGGUGCAUACCAGCACUGGGGAGGCUGAGGCAGGAGGAAAGCUGAGAGCUCAAGGCCAGUCUUGGUUACAUAGCAAGAACCAAACCAGUAUACAAGGCAAGAUGCUGUCUCGAAAAAAAAGGGGGGGGGGGCGGACUCAAUGAAAUGGCUCUGAGAGUAAAGAUACUUGCAGCCAGGACUGACUACCUGAGUUCAAAUAGUGGAAGCAGAAAACCAAUUCCCCAAGUUGUCCUUUAAUCUCUACUCAGACACCAUGGCAUGUGCACCCCCCGCCCAUAGAUGUUAAAGAAACUAAUACAAAAACAACUUCAACUGAGCAUUUAACUUUAACCAGACACUGUGAGUUAUUUGAAUGAUAUGCCUUGCUUGAUAUUGGUCUCAUAUUCACACAGGCCCCAGUUCAAGGCUUGGCAAAUGGAGGGACUUACAUGACUACCAGGCAGGCAGCAGGGUUUAUAUCGAGUCUGUCUGACUCCAGAGUUAAGCUGAGUCCCUCCUUAGGACCACUUCUGUAUUAGAAAGUUCCUUUCAAGGGGCUGGAGAUGGCUCAGUGGUUAAGAGCAUGCACUGCUCUUCCAAAUGUCCAGAGUUCAAUUCCCAGCACCCACAUCAAUUGGCUCACAACUACCUUCGGUUCCAACUCCAGGAUACCUACAUCCUCUGACCUCCAUGAAAUUAAAACAUUCCAUCCUGCCAGGGAGCUCCUUAAGCAGGGAGGUAAAAAACUAAAAAAGAGGCCGGGCAGUGGUGGCGCACACCUUUAAUCCCAGCACUUGGGAGGCAGAGGCAGGUGGAUCUCUGUGAGGUCAACACCAGCUGAUCUACAAGAGCCAGUUCCAGGACAGCCUCCAAAAGCCACAGAGAAACCCUUUCUCGAAAAACAAAACAAAACAAAACAAACAAACAAACAAAAACAAAAAGAACCCCCUGAAACCAACCAGAUUCACUAAGGGCAGAGUAAAUAAUAAAGGCUCAGAGUCCCCCUCAGAGGAAGUGAAGCUGAGCUGCACAGAAUACUCUCAGAGAGAAAGAGAAGAAAAAACCUCCAAGACCAGACCAGCAAGAAGCAAAAACCAGCCAGGCUACUGAAAGAGACCACUGACACCUGGAAAGGACACUUUCCACACUGCUGUGCAGUGUGCUCCAGGUCCCCAGCUUUUGUGAGCUGUCAUCCCCCUGGGGUAGGCUUUGGUGACACAGCUGUCUUUGAGUCAUUUCUGCUCCAGUAAGUGACCCCUCACAUAUAUUCCUGUAAGCAACCCCAAUAAAACUCAUUGCCUUUCUGGGAUCUGUACUUUGGUCUGUCGUGGGCUCCCUGUCUGGGGUGAGUAAACAAGGGUUUGUCUUCCCAGGAAAAGUUUUCUCAUACAACAGCACCUGUACACACAUGUGUACAAUUAAAGCAUUUGUUUUUCUUCUUCCAGUCCUCCUUCAAGACUUUUUACCACUCCACCCUUCAAGGCUCCUCCUCUUCUGACCAACUCCAUUGUCCACCUGGCCUGGUCACAGAAGCCACAGGCAGACUCCUCCCCAGGACUAUCCCCAGAAGACCCUGCGGGGUGGGGCAAAAUAACCAUCUCUGCCUCACUCCCAGCCAGCUGUCACUGUCACUCAAGGCCCUUCUCUCUCCAACUGGCCCAAACUGGUUGGUGUGACGCCUGCCGGUGUGACCCCAGGUAAGGACAGAACAGAUCUGCUGCCACUCCCAGCCUUUCCUCCUCUCUCCUGCCUGGGUCUGGGACAUUCAGUAGGUGACACCUCCUGGCCCCCCUUGU
Non-coding RNA from Cricetulus griseus (Chinese hamster), 4016 nucleotides. The record is from RefSeq and is a predicted model, not a curated record. Lineage: Eukaryota; Metazoa; Chordata; Mammalia; Rodentia; Cricetidae.